RNAcentral lists this long non-coding RNA (2239 nucleotides) under Sus scrofa (pig). Its description in RNAcentral is "lncRNA (ENSSSCG00030041876.1)". The record is from RNAcentral. Lineage: Eukaryota; Metazoa; Chordata; Mammalia; Artiodactyla; Suidae.
CUCUGGGAGAGUCCAGCUUCUGGACGUCUUCCAUGAAAUGCAGCUUCUACAGGUCAUAAAGGUGUAAAGAUGGGGCACGCUGGCAGGGAUGGAUCCCUGGCCGGAGAGUCCGAAGCCCCUUCCACCCCUGCAGCUCUUCUCCAAAGGGAACACUCUGUUCCUUUCCUUGGGUGAACCAGACUCAGGCCCCUGCUGGUUCUUGAGUCAGCGGGGAGGCUGACCCAGCAGCCGCCUCCUGGCCAGACUGACCUAAGAAAAGAGUUGUACAGUUGAUAUCAGAGAAGGAAAAAAUUUCUGAAAGAAACCAAAGGGAAAAAAACACCUGCUAUAUAGAGAAUCAAAGAUAAGAAUUAAUCCAACUUCUACACAGAAACCAUGCAAGCAAGAAGAGAAUGGAGUGAAUGUUACAAGUUUUCAGAGAAAAAGCUACCAACCCAGAAGUCUGUACUCUGCAAAAUUAUCCUUGAGAAGUAACAGAGAAAAAGACUUUCUCAGAGAAAAAAAAAAAAAAAAUUGAGGAAAUUUGUUGCCAACAGAACUGCCUUAGAAGAAAAGCUAAAAGAAGUUACAUAAAGAGAAGGAAAUUACCAUGGGUUGGAAACUCAGCUCUGCAUGAAGAAAGGAAGAGCAUCAAAGAAGGAAAAGUCAAGCCACGCUUUCAGAAGGCGAGGGAGGGGAAACCAGGAGAUCUGACGUGGAACCCGCAGCUCUGAUGAGUUGAGGAUGAGCUACUCAAGGGUCUUCUGUCUUCCACAGCCAACAGCUUCCAGAGACAAAGCAGAUUUGGUGUGUGCAGAUUUCCCCUCUCCGAAGGGAGUACAAACUCACUGAUCCCUUCCACUUGAACCAGGCCUCUGCUGCCAGGGGAUCCUUUCCAGAACGUAACCACUGGAGGGAGAGCAGAGCCACCUGUCUCCUGACUCCCUGGCCCACAGACCACAUCCCCAGACUGUGCACAAACCGUGACGGAAACCGUGGCUACUGGCUCUGCCCAUCCAGCCAGAUGUGGGAGAAAGACAAGAGGAGGGACUUGGUCUGGCACCCCUGGGUGCCAUCCUCAGCUGGUCUUUGCGUUCAUUCUGACCCAGACGGCAAUCCUGGGCCCCCCUCUACUCAAGCAGGUGUUGGAGGAGGUCACUGGGAGGGCGUGGUCAUCAAAGGCUCCUCCCCUCCUCCUGGCCCACCCACGUAAGGUGCGUUCUGCUUGCCUCUCCCCACUAGAAGCUGCCCAAGGACCCAGCCUUGAAGUCAUAAGCUGCUCUGUAGACCCUCUGGAAGGUGUAUGUGUUUGUACCCAGUCACAGCCUCUAUAUAAACCUUUCAGAUUCUGACUGGGAGGGGGCACCAAGACCUGCUCAUCUUGCACCUGCCUAGGACAGGACAGGCUUAUGUGUAAGGUCCCUUGCUUAUGAAACCUGCCAGCUACCAAUUUAAUAUCUGCUGCUUUCCUGUCUCUCCCUCCCCUCUGCGUUCAGGGAACCCAGUUCCGAUUAUACCCAGGGAAGUUCCCGAGGUUUUGAAUUAGCAGCAGGGCCAGAGGGGUAUCUUCAAGAUCUUCUUCCCAGGAGAAUGCGGGGGGUGGGGGGCAUGGAGGGCAGGUUGUAAGGGUUGGGGGAUGCUGAAGGGAGUUCUUCACCCACCUCAGAUGCCUCUGCAAGUUAUAGUAUGGAGCCCUGGGAUAGACACUCUCCCUACAAGGACCAGAAAGUCACAUAGCUGAGCUCAACAAACUUUUGUUUUCUUUUUGGCCAUACCCUGGGCAUGCAGAAGUUCCCAGGCUGGGGACUGAACCUGUGCCACAGCAGUGACAAUGCUGGAUCCUUAGUUGGCUAGGCCACCAGGGAACUCCUCAACCAACUUUUAACAGGCACCUAUGAUGUGCCAGCUAAUUAUGCCAAGAGCCAGUCAGAUAGGGAUAAUUUUUAUUUAUUUAUUUUUUUUGUCUUUUUACCUUUUCUAGGGCCGCUCCCGCAGCAUAUGGAGUUCCCAGGCUAGGAGUCUAAUCGGAGCUGUAGCCUCUGGUCUACACCAGAGCCAUAGCAACACGAGAUCCAAGCCACGUCUGCGACUUACACCACAACUCACGGCAACACCAGAUUGUUAACCCACUGAUCAAGACCAGGAAUCGAACCCGCAACUGCAUGGUUCCUAGUCAGAUUAAUUAACCACUGUGCCACAAUGGGAACUCCCAGAUAGGGAUAAAUUUGACCUGGCUUCUCACCAGGAAAAAAAAAAAAAA